Molecule: ribosomal RNA, 253 nt
Filed under: uncultured bacterium
Lineage: Bacteria
Description: partial 16S ribosomal RNA
Rfam family: Bacterial small subunit ribosomal RNA
Source: RNAcentral
UACGUAGGAUGCAAGCGUUGUCCGGAAUUACUGGGCGUAAAGGGCGUGCAGGUGGCAUUACAAGUCUGAUGUGAAAUCUCCCGGCUUAACUGGGAGGGGCCAUUGGAAACUGUAGAGCUGGAGUGCAGGAGAGGCUAACGGAAUUCCCGGUGUAGUGGUGAAAUGCGCAGAUAUCAGGAAGAACACCCGUGGCGAAGGCGGCUCUCUGGGACGUGACUGACGCUGAGACGCGAAAGCGUGGGGAGCGAACAGG